GUUGUUUGUAAUGACGAUGUAGCUGGUUCUCGACGAUAGAGGAUAGGCCAGGCAGGGCCUAGGCUAGGCUAGGGCCAGUACCAUGACUGGCAUGAGUAGAAUCUACUGCUGGCAGUGCCAGUAGGGCUAGGGGCAGUACUUGCAGUAGGGCUCGCCACAGGUCAGUACAAGGCACCACCCCACCGACGGUCGGUGGCAGUUGCCACUUGAACUGGCGAUACCAAGUAAAGUUUAUCAGACUCUGAUUCUACAGACAGUUACUCUUGGCGAUACCCAUGAAAUCUGUGCUGCUGACAAUGGUGGAACAGGCCACACCACUGCCACUGUGCCAGGCCAUGCCGGCAGCCCUCGGCUAUCGCCAUUCGUUCGUUCGCACCCGUGACCAAAGAGUCGACAGUGUCGACCGCGAUCCAAGUAAUCAGUUUGUUCACGCGGACUAGUGAGUAGUAAUGAGUCUAGCAAAGCCACUGGAAUAAGGAUCUGACUCUGAGCCAGGACGGUGACGAAUGGGACACCAAGUAAAGCAACGACGUUACGAACUUACGUGUCGCUCGACCAACUGCUACUCAUCGGUCCGCAACGAGUAGCAGUCCCCAACUCCCCAACCCCGCAACAAAGCAACUGCCAAAAUGCACUUUGCCAUGCAGGACCACAGUCUGUGCAGGAGUUGACAAACAUGACAGCUAGGGGAAUCACCACUGGCAUCCAUGAUUGUGUGACAUCAUCGUGGCUCUAAGCAUGCAAUGCGCAAGUAACUUAGUUAGCUGAUUGGAUUGCAUCGACCGUGUGCUGCUGCGGGCCAGUGCAUGGGCAAUGCCUAAGCAUUCACGGGGCUACUCAGUGGGAACAAGAAUUCCCCCCAUGUGCUUGCUUGAUUUCAUCAGCAUCAUGCACAAUGGACAGUGUUAGAUGGGCUGUGUCGUAUCUCGACGGGUAGGAUCUGAGUGAUGAGCGGUGUGUAGCGGAGUAUCAUAGGUAGGAUCUGAGUGAUGAGCGGUGUGUAGCGGAGUAUCAUGGGUAGGAUCUGAGUGAUGAGCGGUGUGUAGCGGAGUAUCAUGGGUAGGAUCUGAGUGAUGAGCGGUGUGUAGCGGAGUAUCAUGAGAUCUGAGUGAUGAGCGGUGUGUAGCGAAGUAUCGUGAGCGUACACCUCCAUGUAAUCCGGCAAUGGGUGAUUUUUGCAGCGUGAGUGCGUGGAUGCUUCUUGCCGAAAUUCGCCUAGGAGGUAUCAGCAAUGAACUAAUCCUGAGGUGCCCACUAUCGACUGGGUCAUGAAUAAUGCAAGCAGGACGUUAGGGCAAACUGUGCUGUGAGUGCUCCUGAACGCCUCAAUCCUGUGACUUGAGAUUGUUUGAAUCCGAGGCCGCUACUGACUAUGUGAUGUAUUGUGGGCUUCUGUAUUCACUCUGCCAUUCACUGUGCCAUUCACUGUGCCAUUCAUUGUUGCAAUGAACUCCGUGACUUUGA
Molecule: long non-coding RNA, 1464 nt
Organism: Sycon ciliatum
Lineage: Eukaryota; Metazoa; Porifera; Calcarea; Leucosolenida; Sycettidae
Exons: 2
Source: RefSeq, a predicted model, not a curated record